AGGAUUCCCCUAGUAACUGCGAGUGAAGCGGGAAAAGCUCAAAUUUAAAAUCUGGCGGUUUUGGCCGUCCGAGUUGUAGUCUGGAGAAGUGCUUUCUGUGCUGGACCGUGUACAAGUCUCUUGGAACAGAGCGUCAUAGAGGGUGAGAAUCCCGUCUUUGACACGGACUACCAGUGCUUUGUGAUGCGCUCUCAAAGAGUCGAGUUGUUUGGGAAUGCAGCUCAAAAUGGGUGGUGAAUUCCAUCUAAAGCUAAAUAUUGGCGAGAGACCGAUAGCGAACAAGUACCGUGAGGGAAAGAUGAAAAGCACUUUGGAAAGAGAGUUAAACAGUACGUGAAAUUGCUAAAAGGGAAACGCUUGAAGUCAGUCGCGUUGUCCGAAACUCAGCCUUGCCUUGGCUUGGUGUAUUUUUCGGUUAACGGGUCAGCAUCGAUUUUGACCGAUGGAUAAAGGUCAGGGGAAUGUGGCACCUUCGGGUGUGUUAUAGCCUCUGAUUGUAUACAUCGGUUGGGAUCGAGGAACUCAGCUUCGGCUUAGGAUGCUGGCAUAAUGGCUUUAAACGACCCGUCUUGAAACACGGACCAAGGAGUCUAACAUGCCCGCGAGUGUUUGGGUGGUAAACUCAGGCGCGUAAUGAAAGUGAAUGUUGAGACCUCUGUCGUGGAGGGCAUCAACGCCCGGACCUGACGUUCUCUGACGGCUCCGCGGUAGAGCGUGUAUGUUGGGACCCGAAAGAUGGUGAACUAUGCCUGAAUAGGGUGAAGCCAGAGGAAACUCUGGUGGAGGCUCGUAGCGAUUCUGACGUGCAAAUCGAUCGUCAAAUUUGGGUAUAGGGGCGAAAGACUAAUCGAACCAUCUAGUAGC
RNAcentral lists this ribosomal RNA (864 nucleotides) under Skeletocutis nivea. Its description in RNAcentral is "partial large subunit ribosomal RNA". It matches the Rfam family "Eukaryotic large subunit ribosomal RNA", at positions 71 to 951 of the family's 3401-position model. The record is from RNAcentral. Lineage: Eukaryota; Fungi; Basidiomycota; Agaricomycetes; Polyporales; Incrustoporiaceae.